GUGCUCGCUUUGGCAGCACAUUUACUAAAACUAGAACGAUACAGAUUAGCAUGGCCCCUGCCCAGAGAUGACAUGGGGAUAAAGAAAAGAAAAAGCAGAAA
This 101-nucleotide small nuclear RNA is filed under the name Mus caroli (Ryukyu mouse). The record is from RNAcentral. Lineage: Eukaryota; Metazoa; Chordata; Mammalia; Rodentia; Muridae.